AGCAGCCGCGGUAAUUCCAGCUCCAAUAGCGUAUAUUAAAGUUGCUGCAGUUAAAAGCUCGUAGUUGAAUUUCGGGACCGAUAUAUCGGUCGUGCCUCGGUACGUACUGGUAUUUUCGGUUUCUCCCUUCUGACGAACCUUGAUGUCAUUAAUUUGGUGUCUUGGGGAAUCAGGACUGUUACUUUGAAAAAUUAGAGUGUUUAAAGCAGGCUCACGCUUGAAUACAUUAGCAUGGAAUAAUGAAAUAGGACGUUUGAUUCUAUUUUGUUGGUUUCUGGGAUCGACGUAAUGAUUAAUAGGGAUAGUUGGGGGCAUUAGUAUUCAAUUGUCGGAGGUGAAAUUCUUGGAUUUAUUGAAGACUAACUACUGCGAAAGCAUUUGCCAAGGAUGUUUUCAUUAAUCAAGAACGAAAGUUAAGGGAUCGAAGACGAUCAGAUACCGUCGUAGUCUUAACCAUAAACUAUGCCGACUAGGGAUCGGAUGAUGUUAAUUUUUAAUGACUCAUUCGGCGCCUUACGGG
Molecule: ribosomal RNA, 520 nt
Filed under: uncultured Glomus
Lineage: Eukaryota; Fungi; Glomeromycota; Glomeromycetes; Glomerales; Glomeraceae
Description: SSU rRNA
Rfam family: Eukaryotic small subunit ribosomal RNA
Source: RNAcentral